This 465-nucleotide ribosomal RNA is filed under the name uncultured bacterium. Its description in RNAcentral is "bacterial SSU rRNA". It matches the Rfam family "Bacterial small subunit ribosomal RNA", at positions 28 to 507 of the family's 1533-position model. The record is from RNAcentral.
GACGAACGCUGGCGGCGUGCCUCAGACAUGCAAGUCGAACGAUUAAAGCUCUCUUCGGAGAGUGUAUAGAGUGGCGCACGGGUGAGUAACACGUAAGUAAUCUACCCUCGAGUGGGGAAUAACAACCGGAAACGGUUGCUAAUACCGCAUAAUGCAGCGGCACCGCAAGGUGACAGUUGUUAAAGAUUUAUCGCUUGAGGAGGAGCUUGCGGCAGAUUAGCUAGUUGGUAGGGUAACGGCUUACCAAGGCUACGAUCUGUAACCGGUCUAAGAGGACGGUCGGUCACACUGACACUGAAUAACGGGUCAGACUCCUACGGGAGGCAGCAGUCGGGAAUUUUGGGCAAUGGGCGAAAGCCUGACCCAGCAACGCCGCGUGAAGGAUGAAGUAUUUCGGUAUGUAAACUUCGAAAGAAUAGGAAGAAUUAAUGACGGUACUAUUUAUAAGGUCCGGCUAACUACGUG